AGUGAUAUAGCUCAAUGAUAGAGUGCUUGCCUUGCAUGCUUGAGGCUCUGGGUUCAAUCCCCAGUCUGACCA
RNAcentral lists this transfer RNA (72 nucleotides) under Ictidomys tridecemlineatus (thirteen-lined ground squirrel). Its description in RNAcentral is "Spermophilus tridecemlineatus (thirteen-lined ground squirrel) tRNA". It matches the Rfam family "tRNA". Rfam says of the family: Transfer RNA (tRNA) molecules are approximately 80 nucleotides in length. Their secondary structure includes four short double-helical elements and three loops (D, anti-codon, and T loops). The record is from Rfam by way of RNAcentral. Lineage: Eukaryota; Metazoa; Chordata; Mammalia; Rodentia; Sciuridae.